CAGUCGCCGCGGUAAUACGUAGGUGGCAAGCGUUGUCCGGAAUUAUUGGGCGUAAAGGGCUCGCAGGCGGUUUCUUAAGUCUGAUGUGAAAGCCCCAGGCUCAACCGGGGAGGGUCAUUGGAAACUGGGAAACUUGAGUGCAGAAGAGGAGAGUGGAGUUCCACGUGUAGCGGUGAAAUGCGUAGAGAUGUGGAGGAACACCAGUGGCGAAGGCGACUCUCUGGUCUGUAACUGACGCUGAGGAGCGAAAGCGUGGGGAGCGAACAGGAUUAGAUACCCCCGUAGUCCCUGUCUCUUAUAC
Molecule: ribosomal RNA, 301 nt
Filed under: uncultured bacterium
Lineage: Bacteria
Description: partial 16S ribosomal RNA
Rfam family: Bacterial small subunit ribosomal RNA
Source: RNAcentral